ACGCCUGGUUGGUUGAACGGCAGAAAGGAAACUCAUAUCCACAGUCGCCCCAUCAGACGACACGUAUCUGUUGGAGGACUCGAUUCCUUGGCUUUGUCAUCUUGGAUCCAUCCCAUGAAGAAACUCCUUCCUCAUUAACAGCACAACGAAGUCCAAAAACCAUGGCUCCACCAAAUAGUAAUCUUUUUGCCUCAAUAGACAUGGGCACCAACUCCUUCAAAAUGUUAAUAGUCCAAGCAGACCCAUCAGGCAAAUUCCUCACCAUUGAUCGCCACAAGAACCCUGUAUGCCUCGGUCGCGACUCUUCCACUUCCAUCUCAGCGGAAUCCCAUCUUCGUGCCCUCCAGUGCCUUCAAGAAUUCAACCAAAUCCUCAAAUACAAUAACAUCUCUCCCUGUAGUAUCCGCUGCGUCGCCACUGCAGCAGUGCGCGAGGCAGAUAACGCAAUCGAGCUGAGAAAGGCAAUACAUCAAAGUACUGGAUUAGAUGUCGUUGUUUUGUCUGGUGAAGAGGAGGCAAGGUUUGUGUACUUGGGUGUACUUCAGUUUUUACCAGUUUUUGGGAAAAGAGUUUUGGUUGUGGAUAUUGGAGGUGGGUCUACAGAAUUUGUCAUAGGGGACAGAGGAAAUGUUAUUUUGGGGGUCUCUUUGAAGUUGGGGCAUGUGGGUUUGACUCAGAAGUCACUUAGUAGUGGUAAUGUUUCGGACAUGAGAAAGUUUGUCAAGUUAGUUAUAAGAGAAUCCGGGUUGAUUGAGAAAGUUAAGGAGUGUGGUUUUGAGGUGGUUGUUGGGACUUCAGGGACUGUUAGGGCAAUUGAGGAAGCUAUUUUUUAUGGUUAUGGACAAGAUUUGGUUGAUAGUAAUGAGGUUUUGUUCAGGAAUUGUAAUAGGGAUUGGAAGUUUAGCAGAGGAGAGUUGAGGAGUGUUGUUGAUAGGUUGUGUAAGGAAGGAGUGGCAGAGAGGAUUCAGAGAGAUAAGUUUUUCAAGAGAAGAUCAGAGUUUAUUGUUGCUGGUGCAGUGUUAUUGGAGGAGAUAUUUGAGGUGAUUGGAAUUGAAGAGAUGGAGGUUUCUGGGUAUGCAUUGGGAGAGGGUGUUAUUGCUGACACUUUGGCUAAAGUGUAUCAUGGUUACGACUUGAAUCCUAAUGUGAGGUGGACUUCUGUUGUAAGGUUUGCGAUGAGGUUUAGUGACAAGAAGAGAAUUAAAUCAGCAGCAAAAUGUGCUAGCGUUGCCACUGAGAUUUUUCAGGGCUUGAGAAAAUGGAUAGAGGUUGCUGACAAUCAACCUAAAAUUAAUCUCCACUUGGCUGAAAAGGAUCUUGAAUGUCUUGAAGCUGCCUGUUUACUUCACAAUAUAGGGCUUUCCACUGGUAAAAAAGGUUACCAUAAGCAGACUUAUCGAAUAAUUAUGAAUAAUGAUCAUCUUCAUGGAUAUAGCGCUGACGAGGUCAAGUUAAUAGCACUACUUACAAGGCAUCACAGGAAGAAAUUCCCAGAAUCUGAUCAUUCCAAUUUGAAGGAGAUUCCUGAAGUGUUGAAGAUGAAAUUCAGAAUUCUUUGCAUCAUCAUUCGGAUAUCAGUCAUAUUACAACAAAAUGAUUGUUUGAACUUCCAAGAUGUGGAAGUUCUACAUUCUCACGAAGGAUUCAAACUGAUAUUCAGGCAAGCUGGGAACAAAACUGCUUUACCUGUGGGAGAGGACAUGGAGAGAGAACUGAAAAAGGAAUUAGCACAAUUCAACAUUGUAUUCCGGCAACAGUUGUUGGUUGAGGGGCAGUUGUGCACUUCAGAAUCAUCAAAAAGCUGAAAAUACUAUCACAAUGGACGUUAGUCACUCACCGUAUAAUUGAAACUUAUAUAGCUUAUACACUGGAUCUCGUUAAUUAUAAAGGGGAACUGGGGAGAUGAGGAAUAUAACAUGCAAAUUCAUAUGCUGCAUUGCUUGCAUAUGGACAUGACUACUAGUUCUUGGCCUCCUGUUUCAACUGCUUUGGUUUCUCACGUGGAUAACCCCAAAAAACCAAAGAAAGGACCUAAAAGUAGAAAGGCUUCAGAGGGUGAGAUCAAAGUUUUAAGAUUUUUAAAUUUUUAUGAAAAAUUUGCUGGCUUGAAUCAGACCAAUCUGAUUUUGGCUCGAUCCAAAGAAGAGAGAAAAUAGUUUCAGUUUGGUACAGGCAUGUGGAGCUCCGAUUCAGUUUUGAUUUUGGAUUAAACCAGAGGAAGUGUAGCUGUCACAAGGAGUAUCUGUCAUGAAAGAAACAGACCAGCAUUGACCAACAGCAAUUGAAUUCCACAAUCCAAACUUUCCUAAUUUGACAUUCCUUCUCCCAAAACUAAAAACAUAAGCUUCCUCCACCUCUACUUCCCCGCAAUAAAAGGGCCUUUUCAACAACAAACAGAGUCUCCCCUCACCUCAAUCAAACCAGAGGGUCCCAGAGGGAGGGAGAGGGAGAGGGAGAGGUGGGGCAGGGUAGG
Molecule: RNA transcript, 2473 nt
Organism: Hevea brasiliensis (rubber tree)
Lineage: Eukaryota; Viridiplantae; Streptophyta; Magnoliopsida; Malpighiales; Euphorbiaceae
Exons: 8
Source: RefSeq, a predicted model, not a curated record